RNAcentral lists this ribosomal RNA (429 nucleotides) under uncultured bacterium. Its description in RNAcentral is "bacterial SSU rRNA". It matches the Rfam family "Bacterial small subunit ribosomal RNA", at positions 355 to 776 of the family's 1533-position model. The record is from RNAcentral.
UGGGGAAUUUUGGACAAUGGGCGAAAGCCUGAUCCAGCCAUGCCGCGUGCGGGAAGAAGGCCUUCGGGUUGUAAACCGCUUUCGGCCGGGACGAAAUCGCAUCGAUGAAUACUCGGUGUGGAUGACGGUACCGGAAUAAGAAGCACCGGCUAACUACGUGCCAGCAGCCGCGGUAAUACGUAGGGUGCGAGCGUUAAUCGGAAUUACUGGGCGUAAAGCGUGCGCAGGUUGUUCUGUAAGUUGGAGGUGAAAUCCCCGGGCUCAACCUGGGAACUGCCUUCAAGACUGCAGGACUAGAGUGUGGCAGAGGGAACUGGAAUUCCACGUGUAGCAGUGAAAUGCGUAGAUAUGUGGAGGAACACCGAUGGCGAAGGCAGGUUCCUGGGCCAACACUGACACUCAUGCACGAAAGCGUGGGGAGCAAACAGG